UGCUUCUUCUCUUGCAUUUACAAACACCCAAGGCUAUACCCUUCUUAACUCAUUUUUUGGUGGUGGAUUGAAGCACUUUCAAGGAGAGUUUACCAUUUUUGUUCCACUUCAUCUCCUCAAAUUUUCACCUUUGAACAUAAUCCAAAAAGAAUUUUCUCAAUGUCGAGUCAGAUCGUGAAUCAAAAUUGGAGAAACGCAACUCAAUCAAAUCAACCGUAUAGUCCAAUCAAAUCAUGGAGCAACAUUGGAGACAACAGAAGGAUAUUGACCAUAGAACUUCCAGGUUUUACAAAGGAUCGUCUACGAAUCAACUUGAAUACAAGAACAAGGACGCUUAUAAUUACAGGACAAAAAUCAGAUGGCCUAUUCAAUAUUACUCCUUUGAACGAACAUAUACAAAUCGAAGAAACCUGCUCACUAGAUGAAGUACAUGCAAAAUUGGUUAAUGAUACUCUUCAAAUUAUAUUUUUCAAAACCUAAUAAAUCUUCCUUUACAUUUAAAUCAAGAUUUACUAAGUGUAUGCAUAAAGAUUAACUUCUAUGUCCACAAUAGGGUUGGUGAAUGUAGAAACUUGUUUCCAUGUUUGUAAUUCAACUUAUAUGUGAAGGAUGAUGUUAGUGAGUACAAUGAAACCACACUCUCCAAUAUUUACCUACUUAUGUGGUUGCAGAAGGAAUAAUAACUAUGUUGUUUAUUCAUUUUACUUGAAAACAAUAGUGUUACGCCUUUGUUUGUUAUCAAUAAAGUGAACUUUAAUA
Benincasa hispida (wax gourd) is the source of this 759-nucleotide long non-coding RNA. RefSeq lists it as uncharacterized. NCBI's taxonomy places the organism in Eukaryota, Viridiplantae, Streptophyta, Magnoliopsida, Cucurbitales, Cucurbitaceae. The record is from RefSeq and is a predicted model, not a curated record.